Molecule: long non-coding RNA, 771 nt
Organism: Benincasa hispida (wax gourd)
Lineage: Eukaryota; Viridiplantae; Streptophyta; Magnoliopsida; Cucurbitales; Cucurbitaceae
Source: RefSeq, a predicted model, not a curated record
AUAAAAGGAAAUAAAAUAAAAUAAAGAAAAGACAACACCCUCUCUCUCCCUCUCACCCCAUCGUGUGAACCCCCCUUGUGAAAACCCUUGCCGCCGUCACCCUCGCUGGCCGAUUCGCUCGUGCCAGAUCCACCCAGCCGUUCCCAAUUGAUGUCGUGUCAGAUUCCACCUACCCUGAAGCGGACUGUUCGUGCACCAGAUCAGCCACAAGCUCAUCCCCUCCAGCAUGCCGCUUAUUCAGCCGCGCGUCCAUCCGCUCCAGCGCGCCGUUCGUCCAGUCAACACCGGAUCGUUUCGUCCGUUCCGCCCACGCUCUUUGUUCGACGUCCGCUUCCUCCGCCGUCAUUGGGUUUCGCCGGAUCUGGUAGUUUUAGUGGGAUUGUAGGAGAAGCUUGAAGCCAAAAGGGUGCUGUCGAGGAGGGUUGGAACUGGUUUUGUUAAAUUUAUGGGGUCAUUAUUUGGAGUUGCUGGUUUCGUUUGGUGGUCUAAUUUUAUCUGUGGAUUUUUUACUGAGGUAAGGUCAAGGGCAAGGACGUGCUGGCGAAUGACAAAUGGAAUCCUUGACGAGCCACUGGGGAUCAGUCUCUUUAAUUGCUUCCGCUCAUAUUUCAGUAUUUCUUUUAUGUUUUACAUUUUUUAGUUUUGGGAUUUCAGACAAAUGUUUAAGAUUUGUUUUCAUAAAUAUUUAUUUAUGACUAAUGGGUACCCUAUCCAUGGGCUUUAAAUAUUUGAAUUUAAUGCAAACUUUUCAGUUACCUUAUUUAUUUCAAA